UACGGGGGGGGGCAAGCGUUGUUCGGAAUUAUUGGGCGUAAAGGGCGCGUAGGCGGCCCGGUAAGUCAAAGGUGAAAUCCCUCGGCUCAACUGAGGAACUGCCUUUGAAACUGUCGGGCUUGAGGCCGGGAGGGGGUAGCGGAAUUCCCAGUGUAGCGGUGAAAUGCGUAGAUAUUGGGAGGAACACCAGUGGCGAAGGCGGCUACCUGGACCGGUUCUGACGCUGAUGCGCGAAAGCGUGGGUAGCAAACAGG
RNAcentral lists this ribosomal RNA (254 nucleotides) under uncultured bacterium. RNAcentral's name for it is "partial 16S ribosomal RNA". It matches the Rfam family "Bacterial small subunit ribosomal RNA", at positions 524 to 776 of the family's 1533-position model. The record is from RNAcentral.